This is a long non-coding RNA of Oncorhynchus tshawytscha (Chinook salmon), 3780 nucleotides long. NCBI's taxonomy places the organism in Eukaryota, Metazoa, Chordata, Actinopteri, Salmoniformes, Salmonidae. The record is from Ensembl.
UAAUGAUCAAUUAGCCUUUUAAAAUUAUAAACUUGGAUUAGCUAACACAACGUGCCAUUGGAACACAGGUGUGAUGGUUGCUGGUAAUGGAUAAAUAAUUUGAUGUUAUUUUAAUGGACAAAAAAAUGUGCUUUUAUUUAGAAAACAAGGACAUUUCUAAGUGACCCCAAACUUUUGAACGGUAAUGUAUGUAUGUGUGUGUGUGUGCAUGUGAGAGGGGCAGGAAAGGGGCAGGAAGGGUUGGUGAGGGGUGCGUGAACAGGGUGGUAUUGGGGAGAUGUGGAUUUCUGCCCCAGCUUUCCCCCUACUCUCUAUCUCCCCCUGUAGUGCAUGGGGGGGAAGCUGGGUGGGGGUUUCGGUGUGACCGUUUGGGUCUUGUCAUGGAUAUACAGGUUGGGGGAACGCUUGAUGUCAUUCUCUCCCUCUAUGUAGCCCUGCACCACGCCAGCCUCAGCCCCCAAUUCAACAAUACAAAAUCACUACACUGCACACAAGGCGUUGUCAUCGCAGGUGCAGCCGAGAUUCGCCAGAAUAAAUGAACGCUUCCAGCUCAAGAUGUUUUUUUUUUCUUCUUCUCUUUCCUUUUUUCUUCCCUCCCUAUUCCUCUGAGUUGUUUCCAGGCAGGCAGGCAGGGCUUCAGUGUAGAAGGGGAACAGCAGGUCCAGAUCAGCCCCACACAUCACAGUGAAGCCCAGUCUUCUGGCUUCUUAAAACAGGUUUUUGUCAUCACAAACCACCUCGACCAGGGGGCAAUUUUAAUACCUAGCUUCUGAUGCCUGCCUCUCUGCCUGCCUGCCUGCCUCUCUGCUUGCCUCUCUGCCUGCCUCUCUAUCUUGCUGCCUCUCUUCCUGAUUCCUUGCCUUGCCUGCCUGUCUCCUUGGCUGUCUGCCUGCCUCUGUGCCUGCCUGCAUUUCUGCCUCUUUGCCCGCCUGCCUGUCCCUUGGCUCACUCCUAUAAACUGUGUAGGGUAGCCAAAAGAACAGAACAGAGGAGGGUGUGAGAUUGUCAAUUUACCAAAAGUCUCUCCAUGUAUGUCCAUGAUUACACAGGAAGGCCUCUGAGCCCCCAUCCUGCGUGGCAUGGUUCUCUCCCCGGUCAGGUGGUAUUUUUGCUACAGGGCAAGGUGGAGGUGGAGGAGGAAGAAGGAGGUGGUGGUGUUGGGGGAGUGUACUGUAGCUGUAGCUGGUUUUCUCAGCUUGUUAUAGGCUGGAUCCCUUCCACACAAUGCCAGCCAGGCAUGAAGACCGCCGCUAACGAUUCACUCCUGGGCAUCUGGAAGUGUGAGAGCGGUGGCCUAGCCCGGAAUGCCACCCAUCUCGGGGCCUGGCUAAGAAAAACAAACACCAGUGGUCACAGAGAGGGGAUUUCCGGUUAGAGUCAUCUAAUACCUCCCAGGAAUCCCAGAUUUCCCUGAAUCCAGAGUGGAAGAGCCCAGGCCAUCAUAAGCCGCUCAGGAGCGCUGUAAUACCACUAUAAGUUCUACCUUUCUGCAUUACAGUCUGUCAGCUUAGCACCGCGCCUCCAUCUACCCCACACUGCCUCUUUGGUUACCUCACAUGAAGGAAAUAAGAGUAGAUCUCAAUAAACAGGACUGGAAAGAUCAAGUCAAUUGCCAUAAAUAACUAAAUUGGUCAAUUCUGCAUUUGCAUUUUAGAAUUUCUUGGCCAUUUAUAUCCCCCCCCACAAUUGCUUCCAUUGUGUUAAGUGGAGACGCAGUUGUCUGUCCCAGUAUGUCUAACUAACUCUAGGGCCAUGGCCCAGAGAUAAGGUUGGGUUUUAAGGAGGGUAUUUGUUCUUGUUCCCCCUCUCGGGGUCCUGAGACUGGGACUGUGGUGUGAAUUAGGUCGGACAACCGGAUUUAAGCGCUUAGACCCGGAGAGAGCCAGUGACAGCAGUCUGCUUGAUGUCUGAGACCCGAGGUGACCGGAUGAUCAUAGGAGAAAUGGGUCGGUGACCCAGGUAGCAAGUGGCCAUGUUGUAGGCCGGUGCCCUAAUUUAUUUCACCAAGUCCUUUGCAGUGCACACUCUUAGAAAAAAAAGGUGCUAUCUAGAACCUGAAAAGGUUCUUCGGCUGUCUCCAUAGGAGUAUCCUUUGAAGAACCCUUCUGGUUCCAGGUAGAACCCUUUCCACAGAGGGUUCUACAUGGAAUCCAAAAGAGUUCUACCUGGAACCAAAAAGGGUUCUCCUAUGGGGACAGCUGAAGAACCGUUUUGGAACACUUUUUUUGCCGUUAUUAGGCAGACACAUAAAAAUAACCUACGGAACUUCCUAUUGGCUGUUUAGAAAGUACAGAUUCCUUUGGUGGUGUUUGAUGCGCUUCGGCCCAAUUGCUUUUAUGAGCUCUUUAGGUUUCUGUGAUGAGAUAUCUGUGUGCAUUUGCAGACAGACCCAUUGGUUUGUUCAGAGCACAGUGUCCAAAGCAUGUCUCGUGUGCUAGAUGUGGCCCCGGCUGUUUACGAUCUCCUGGUCCUCCUGUUUUCCAGCAGAACACUAUAAUAUAGUGUAACAGGGGUCAACAUCCCACAGCUGGUUGGACUGGAGGAUGAUACUGUGCUGGUGGAAACAACACCUGACUCUGUACCACAGAUCAAGCAGUACCAGCACUUCAGCUUCGGUGCUCUGGAGCCUGGUGUUGUUGUCGCCAUGGACUGUUCGGACUCAGUGGGAACCAGGUUUCAGCUGCUGCGAAACGCUGACAUCCUUCCUCCCAUAGAUGGUCUGCCUAUACAAUCACCACCUGGACUUUACACAGACAAACGUAUCUUUUUGACAAGAUCAGGAAGUUUUAAGACGAAGAGGCUAUGGACGUCACAUGCCCUGCGCCAAAGUCAAGGGCAGGACAGAAACAGGCUCUACGAAUGUAGAUUCCCUUGUUCAUGCGUGGUUCGGAUGGACCAGUCAUCAGCACUAUCUGCAGUUCCUCUAUUCAAAUGACUCUCUCCUAACACACACGCCAUACGUUGCUGCUUCAAAAACAAAAAGAUAUCCUGCUGCUCAGCCACUUUACCCCUGAUUGUAUGCAUAUAACUACCUUGUCUAUCACUGAUAUUGAUAUUGUUCUUGUACAUACUGCGUAUUAUUUUAUUUAUAUUGAUGCCAUUUCUGAUAUUGCUACUAUACAAUUAACCAUUUGGCUGUACCGUUUACACCUUCUGUAGAGACCAAUCCACUUAGCAAGACUUAGCAGAAUAUUGAUAUAUAAAAUGAAUUUUGAUAUGUGUGGUCGUAACAUGAUUUUGUGACAUACCACAACAAUAUCAUGUGACCAUAUCAAGAGUCCACCACAUACAUAUAUGGCGCAUAAAUCUGUUUACGUACUGUUUAUGUACUGUAUGUACCUAUGCACCUCACUCAGGUUUCAACUCAGGUUGCAUGGCCUUAACUUAUGUAUGGAAUACUAUGUGAUAAGUGUGUGUGUAACAGUAUAUAAAAUAUGCUAAUGUACUGUUGUGAAGGCAUUUGGGCAGUGGUGUAAUGUACUUCAGUAAAAUACUACUUUUGUAUUUGGGGGUAUCUGUACAUUACUUUACUAUCUAUAUUUUUGGCAACUUUUACUUUACCUUCACCACAUUCCGGAAAAAAAAUGUACUUCUUACCCCAAACAUUUUCCCUGGCACCCAAAGUACUUCACACACUUAUCAAAAGAACAUCCCUGGUCAUCCCUUCUGCCUCACUAAACACAAAUGCUUUUUUGAAGUUAUGUCUGAGUGUUGGAGUGUGCACCUGCCUAUCCGUCAAUAAAAAAUAAAAACAAUUAGGCCAUCUGGUUUAAUAUAAGG